Long non-coding RNA from Passer domesticus (house sparrow), 3001 nucleotides. RefSeq lists it as uncharacterized. NCBI's taxonomy places the organism in Eukaryota, Metazoa, Chordata, Aves, Passeriformes, Passeridae. The transcript is spliced from 3 exons. The record is from RefSeq and is a predicted model, not a curated record.
ACCAUGUGCCACAACACCUCCAGCCUUUACCACUUUCAGCCCCAAAAUUAUUCCAAGGACAGCUCACAUGGGGCAGGUGGUGCCCCAGGAGCCGCUCACAGGAAAGCUGCUGACCUGAAUUGUGGCCAGGAUGGAAAGGAAUUACAACCAUUCCUUGAGGCUCCACUCUUUGCCUGUUGAGAAGAUGCAAAGACAUCUGAUGUAUUUCCAGGAGCUUGAGGGGAAUUCUUCAGAGGUUCCUUGUACAGGCUGCUUCAGGUCUGUGUGUGAGUGGGAAUGCACAACAGCAAAUCUACUGUGGACAUUGCUCUCCUAGAUUCUUAAGUACUUUAGAUUUUAAGUAAAUGCCAUAUGAAAUUGUUAAAUUGUUUAACUUCAGCAUAAGCAAUAGUUUAACAGCUUAUGCUGUUAAACCUUUGGGCCUAAACUGUUGGUCAAGUCUGGGGCUCAGUUUUGCAAUGGGGUCUACUCUGAACCUUGUUUCCUUUUUAUCCUUGCCCUUUCCUACCCUGCCCCUUCCCCCCUCCCCAGCCUCAGUGUAGAUAAUUUUUGGAUUGAUUUUGGGUUUAGAUUGCCUGGUUUUAGAUUUUAGUGUGCUUUUACCACACAGUAAGUAGUAGAGUGAACCUUGCCAACAACUCUGUGGAACUUUCACUUCUAUACUAAACCUGCUUUUGCUGAUACCUUUGCUGGUGAUUUUUCAUAGAACACUCACUCAUGACAAGGGCCCAGGGCACACAGGCACAACCCUCUGCUCAGUGGUGCUGUGAUUCUAUGGUUCCUACCCAAAUACAGCCCAGCAAACCCAAGCCUGAAUGGGGCAACAACCCUCAACGAGCCCCAACGUUGCUCCUGGCAGGCCUGACAAGCACUUUGAAGAGGAGAGAACAACAAAACUGCUCCCACUUUUAACACCGCCUUCCAGGAUGAACACUGUCCAGCACUGGCUCAGAAUAAAGGGGGCACAGACAUCUGCAAGGACUCCACAGCUCCAGAUCCUCUGUUCAAUACUUGCAGUACAGCAUUAUGUUACCCCUCCAGGCCAAGGAGCCAGGCUGUGGUCACAGCACAGCUGAGUUUUGGGUUUUGUUUGUGGUACUUUGAAAAUGCAGGAAAACCCACCAACAGGUUUGAUAACUCACUGAGUUCUGCACACCCCUCAUGGAAUUUGGCAUGGAGGUUUAAUCCAUGCUGGGUACUGAAGGUGGUCCAAGCACUCCAUGCCAAGGUCCAUUUGCUUGCCUGGCAUUCAAGGCUUGUCCUGCUCAGUCACUGCUGGCCCCUUGGCACAUUUUAUAUGUUAGAGUGGAACAGAAGAGGGUAAUAUUAGGAUAACCAAAACGAAACAAUUAAAUAGUUCCUGUGCUGUUGAAGCAACUGCUUCCAGCAGCUUCUAUUUCUUCCUCACAUCAGCAGACUAGUGGUGUAGGUUUUUCUGGAGUGUGUUUGUCUCAUCAAGGGGGAAGAUCAGUUUGGGAGUUUAUCCUUACAUCAUCCUGGAGACAAAGCCUUCCACAUGCAUCUUGUGCUGCUUCCUCAGGUGUCCCCUCCACCCAAAAAUUAGCAUCACUCAAGAAAGGAGUGAUCAGCCAGUCCUACAUCCAUGGAAGAAGGCUGCAAGCUGCCAAGUGAGCCUUGUUACAGCAGCAGCCCCACUGAACACACAGAGCAGCUCUUCAGAGGGCACAGGAUUCACAGGAAGCACCAAAACUGAAAAAUCUUAGACUUUUUAUUGCAGGUUCAGUGUUAGUGUUUUGGAGAGCACAGCUGCAUUAGAAGCAGAUAUUGUUCCAACUUCCCUUCCCCACAAGACUCUGCCACAAACUCAGCCCCAGGCAACUCCAAAAAUCACGCCCAGUUUUGCAGUGCAGACAAGUGUUCCAGAGAGGACCAAGACCCUCACGUGAUUGGUCACUGAAGAGCAAAAAUGAUCCAAAGCUCGCAAAAUGAAAAGGCCAACACAUUAACUAGCAUUCCCUGCUCUGCUGGGACACACACAGAGCCUGUUCCCAGCUCCCUGGCCCAGGGAUGGGAGCAGCCCUGCCAAUGGGGUGCCCCAGGCUGUCCUUUCGGGAUGUUCCGCUAACUUAGUUUUGAUGAAAGUCCCUGCUCUGCUGUGCAGGAGAGGAGAGGCCACUGAGCUGGCACAGAGCUGCUGUUGGCUCAGCUCUGCCAGCAGCACAGCCUGAACAUUCCCUUCUGUGCUCUGGGGUGAGACACAGGCAGAAACAACCCCAGAGGCUGCUCUCGCUGCCCACACAGCAAUGAGCAGUCCCUGUUCCCUUCUCACAAGCUGACAGCUACUUCUGUUUAGCUUUUCUUUCUGCCCCUACAGGGCAAGAGAAAACACACUAAAAAAAAAUCAUUAAAGGAACUUAAAAAUUCAAAACCACCUCAUUUCUCCAUCUCUCUCAAUUAAGGUGUAAUUCCCCCCACUGCCAGUGGCCCCUUCUAUUGACUUGUAAAGUGCUGGUCAGGUUGAUUUUUUUUCUAUUAGAUCUCACAGCUCAAGACCCUGAAAACCUCAACACUCCUACAAAAAUAAACAGCUGUGUUAUGCCUAUGUUUUAUGGUAUUGCCUUUCCAUGCAGAUUUCCUUCUCUUGUGGAACCCAGGAGAGGGGCAGGCUCAGGUCUAGUCGUCGACGGUGAUGUUGCGGAAGAGAUAAGCCAUGGACUCGCCGUUGUGGAUCCGCCGGAUGGCCUCCGAGAGGAUCAAACUGAUAUCCACAGUCUUUAUCUUGGGGCACUGCAGCUUCUGCACCUCGUGAGGAACUGUGUUGGUCACUACCACCUGUGGAGGGCCAGAAAGGAAAGGAAGUUGUGGUGCUGGAAGGUUCACCCUCCCUGAGCAGGCAGCCUGAGGGUGAAGAAGCAGCUAACUGAAAGCACCUGAUUCAAUGAGUAAUUCCAGACAUAAGCUACGUGCCUUGGGAAGGACAUCAAUUUGUGAGUUUUGGAGCCAGCCCCCACUCUGCAGUCUGGAGAGCAGACUCACCUCA